UCUGAUAAUCCCUUACUAUAAUUCCCUAAUUAUUUCUCUCCGCGUUUGCUAAAAAUUUUUUCUCGAACCCUAAUCCCUCUCCGCUGUCUUCAUUUCUUCCAAACCAGAAGCUUCGUUUCUUUGCUGGCUUCAUUUUCUCCCAAAUCACAAUCUUCAUCUCGCUGCACCACAAGCUUCAUUGUUGGUUGAGCUUGGCUUCGUGUUACUCUUCCUCUUCCUGGGCUGAGUGAGAGUCAGGCUUUACAGAAUCUGAAGGAAGCUGUCAAACAAACGAGACAGCUGCAACAGGAAUUGUCUGAUUCAGUUUUAUUUGAUUCAUUGAGGAGACUUCAGCUGAUGGAACUCGGUGAUUUGUUUUCUACGUUAGAAGCUUUCAUUGGGCAUCUACAUGUAGUGCGUGGGAGUGAUUCUUCAGUUGACUGGACCUAUUCAAUCCCUCUGCUAUUUGAGAAGGUGCCAGAAAUAAAUCAGGAAGAAUCUCAAUGGACAGACUGUGAAACAAGAAAUGCUAUCAAUUCAAUUUAUCAAAAUUUAGACAAGCUGGACGCAUACAUUUCUCUUCUUCUGACAAAAAAGGGAUUCCUUGAUGAAGGUUGAAAUUGUGUACCUUGGGAGACAUGAAGGCCUUAUCGUCUGAGAAUUCGAAAAACAAGAGUUGUUUCAUGAAGACUUUUUUGUAGUUUGUUGUUUGAAGUUUUCAAUUGAAACAAGUCUGAGAAGAGCUUUGUUUAUCCAAUCCUGGAACCUGAAGAACAGUCCCAAGCGUUCAAUAUCAUUAAUCAGUUCAAAGGGAGAAGGAAAAUUUACAAGACUUAAAGAGUGCUUUUGUAUUUAAUGUUCUUGAAAGAGAGUUUCUAGCCAACAGCAAGACUCAUAAAAGAAUUUGACCAGUUGAAAAUCCCUCUUAAUCCCGGCGGUUUUUAAUACUAAU
This is a long non-coding RNA of Vigna radiata var. radiata (mung bean), 931 nucleotides long. RefSeq lists it as uncharacterized. The record is from RefSeq and is a predicted model, not a curated record. NCBI's taxonomy places the organism in Eukaryota, Viridiplantae, Streptophyta, Magnoliopsida, Fabales, Fabaceae. The transcript has 6 exons.